UGCCCUUCUGAGGGGUGAGCAGGCUGAGCAAGGCAUGAGCCCCCAGCCCGUCCUAGUCCUUCCUGCGUGGCUGUUUCCUGAGUGCUGCCCACUCAGCAUGCACUACCCACCCUAGGCCAGGAUGAUGCUGGGCACACCAGGGCAGCAGGGAGAGAACCCAUCCUUGCCUUUGUGAAGGGGGAAUCGUCAUAAGCAGGGAAUGAUUGCAACAUAUGAGAGACUGUGGCAUGGACUGCACCUGUCGCCUCUUGGUCUCACCUUUCUGGAGCCUCCGUUGGCCCUCAGGUCUAUGCAGACUGCGCCCCUCCCUCCCCUCCACCAGGCAGCCAGGCAGCCCCUCGCUUCUUCUUCAUCCACCCCGGGGCCUCUUGGACCUCACCUGCAGGACGUGCUCUGCAGUUUCCUGCACACCUGCAAGUGUGUGGGGGCCCAUGCCUGUGAGCCAUCCUUGAGCAAAGGCAUAAAGACCCAAGGACAAGGCCCUCCAGGCCCCUGCAAGUGGGAGGUUCAUGAGCCUCCUUGGAAGGUCCUGAAGGACAGAGCUCCAGCCACCCCAGCAGUAGCCAGCUCCGUGACCCCCGUUCCCUUCCACUCCUGUUUCACUCCCUAUCCCUCAGGGGAAUGCAGCUAAAGCAGCGGUGUCUGGGGAGCACCCAGCAGGGCCGUGACUCAGGCUGGGGAUCAGGGAGGGCCUCCCUGCAUAGGUGAGAUUUAAGCCAAGCUCUGAAGCAGGAAUGGGAGUUGUCCGGGCAAAGAGGCAUCCUGGGUGAGGAAAGCAGCCUGUGCCAAGGCCUCGAGGUCAGUCUCAGACAUUCCCGACACUUGUGCUUCGUGGCCCUUUCUCAGCCCUGGCUGGCAUCUUGCGAUGUAGGGGGGAGAGAAGCCAGGAGGAGAGCAGCUCAGCCCACGAGGAGGUGCCCAUGGAGGCCCAGGGGCCCCCCUGCACCCUCCCCAGUUUUAAGACCCUAGACCAGUCUCUCACCCUCCAGAGUCUUGGUUUCUCCACCUGUGAAAGAACCACUUUUCCUUCCUGCCAGGAGCUGAAGUCAAAGGCACAGCAUUAUUGGGACACAAUGGGGAGUGGUGGGCCCAGCACUGGGACCCAUGCUGUGUGUCCCAAGAGCAUGGAAUGUUGGCAGGGAGGGGCGGAGGCCAGGCACCGAGCUCCCUGCUGCUCUGCGGCUGCCCCACCUGCAGCCCUUCCCUUCACCCCACCGCCAGUUUGCUCUGCUCUUGGGUGGCCAGUCACCCAGGGGUGGUAUCCAGGGAGGCUCUUGCAGGCCCAGCUUCACUGGCCUGGAAGGGCUAAGCUGCCUGGCCCAGGGGUGUGUCCACUUCAUCCUGGGCAGGAUAUGGGCAUCUCACAGGUGGAAUUCCAUGGCGGGGCUGGAGCCAGGGGGUAACUUGGCAGGACAGAGGCCCAGCCACCAGGAAGCUCGCCUGCUGAUGGCCAAGCUCAGGACACCUUGCACCCCUGUACCUGAGGACAGGCUGCGACUGAUGAGAGUGGCUUCAUCCUCAGAGGGGAAGUGUCCUGGAAGGAUGUGGCUGGAGGCACCCAGCCCUGCGGGAGCCCCUUUAAAUGAGGGGAUGCCUCAGGAAGCAGGGUGAGGGGGGCAGAAACCGGGAACUCUGGAUUUCAAGACUUGGAAGAAAAGUGCUGCAUUGUGCGGUGGCAUCUGCUUGUGGGGACAAGUGCUCCCUGGUGAGACCUCUCCAUCCCCUCCCCGCCCCCCCACGUCUCACACUCUUUCUCUCUCUCCCUGUCCUCCUAUCUUGGCCUUGCACUCGGGUUGUGGGUCGUGUUUGGUCUGUCAUCACUCCCCUCCCUGUGGCUGCCAUUCAGAGCUGGCAGUAAUGAAAAGCGCCGGAUUCCCGCUCACUGGGCCCCAGCAGCACUACAGAGACAUGGAGCCCUUUGCUGCAAAUAAUUAACUUGGUCCCAUGUUGCAUAACAUCCUAAAAAGCUUUCCGGGGCGAGCACCAGCCAGACACUGUGAGCUCAUCAAUACUGCAUCGCAUCGGACACUACUGCUGUGUGGUUUCAUUAAAAAUUUAAUUUGUGGUUUAAA
Nomascus leucogenys (northern white-cheeked gibbon) is the source of this 2072-nucleotide long non-coding RNA. RefSeq lists it as uncharacterized. The record is from RefSeq and is a predicted model, not a curated record. Lineage: Eukaryota; Metazoa; Chordata; Mammalia; Primates; Hylobatidae. The transcript has 2 exons.